GUCCUUGUUUUAGCAGCACAUAUACUUAUACUGGAACAAUACAGAGAUGAUUAGCAUAACCUCUGUGCAAGGAUGACAUGCAAAUCUGUGAAGUGUCUCAUAUUUGU
This is a small nuclear RNA of Ochotona curzoniae (black-lipped pika), 107 nucleotides long. NCBI's taxonomy places the organism in Eukaryota, Metazoa, Chordata, Mammalia, Lagomorpha, Ochotonidae. The record is from RefSeq and is a predicted model, not a curated record.